AGGUAUCUCCAUCUGUCCCUCCCAAAGCUGUGCGCUCGGUCAAAGAGGAGGACCAUCCCUGAUAGAGGAGUACCGUUUCCUCCGUCAAGGGUAUUCGAGUAGCUGCUAGAACCUCCAAACAAGCUCUCAAGGCACAGAUGAAAUUUUAAAGAAAAGACAGGGAUGAGCUACCUCCACCCCCAGUAUUCAAAUAGAUGAAAGUAAAGAGGGU
Molecule: small nuclear RNA, 211 nt
Filed under: Fukomys damarensis (Damara mole-rat)
Lineage: Eukaryota; Metazoa; Chordata; Mammalia; Rodentia; Bathyergidae
Description: 7SK RNA
Rfam family: 7SK RNA
About the family: 7SK was discovered as an abundant small nuclear RNA in the mid-70s but a possible function has only recently been suggested.
Source: Rfam by way of RNAcentral